GGCAGGAGCUAUCACACUGGAGCCUCGCAGUAGCCAAGGAGAGACGCCAAUGAGGGAAUCAUUUUUCCACUUGGUGAAAUACAUUUUUGCCCCGUGAAAGCACGAGGAGGGCCUGUCUUGGAUAGGUGGAGUGGUCCUAGGUCCUACUAGAUGGAAACCUCAGGACUCGGAAGAGGUUCACCUUCGGAGCGAGUCCCCCUAAGGCCAGCCGUAGGAUCUGCAUUGAGUUCAGCAAGCGGAGGCGACUUCCCCAGGGCCACACAGCCAUGGAGGGCUGCGGCUCAGUUGCUGACUGCUCCAGCUCACCCUCACGUCCAUGAGGUUUCUGCUCCAAAAUGCUAUUGCUAAGAAAAAUGUUCCAAACACGACCCAUUGGCUGACCACAGGUCUUCAUUAUAAAAGCAUCUGAAGGAGUUGCUGAAGGGGAUGUCCUGUUGGCUGGACCCUGUCGUGCUGGUUAUAUGUAAACUGGCUGAACUACCCAGUUCUUAAA
This 493-nucleotide long non-coding RNA is filed under the name Homo sapiens (human). RNAcentral's name for it is "non-protein coding lnc-FAM19A5-4:1". The record is from RNAcentral. Lineage: Eukaryota; Metazoa; Chordata; Mammalia; Primates; Hominidae.